Molecule: ribosomal RNA, 248 nt
Filed under: Triticum aestivum (bread wheat)
Lineage: Eukaryota; Viridiplantae; Streptophyta; Magnoliopsida; Poales; Poaceae
Description: partial small subunit ribosomal RNA
Source: RNAcentral
UGCGGUGAGGUUCUUCUCUCGGUGAUCUUGCACAGUGGGUUGGUCACGCUGAGUAUCUCCCAAGGUGCCACAACAUCUCUACCAUUCUUUGCUCUAGGGUGAGCUGCUUCAAUUUGCGACGGUCCGGCGCCCUUCGAUCCAGGGCGAGGGGCAGGGGUCCCCUUCGGAAUUGAAGAAGGAGGGUUUGAUCAUGGUGGUCUCCUUUCAGAGUAGAUGAGGGCAUGUUCAUCUUCGCUGGGCGCGAUUUC